CCGCAUUAAAGGCCCUAAUUCAAAUACAAAUAUCCAUAUAUAUAACAAGUGACUUAAUAUUUUUACAACUGCAGAGUUCAAUAACAAACAGAAAUAAAUAACUUCUUAUACAUAAUGCUGACAAUGUAAAUAAUUAUUGGAAUCAGGAAAUUACUUUUCUAGCUUCGCAGUGAAGGAAACAGAGCUUUAGCUGGGACAAAGAAGAAUCUACUUCCUGGAAAAAUUAAGAAAAAGAAAUAUGAGUUUUAUAAUGAAUAAUAAUUACGGCAUAACACAAGCAUUCACACGAAAUGCUUCCUAAAAUACUAAAAUGAACACAACUAGUCAAACAUAUGGCACAACAUCAGCACCCACAGAGAAGUACACCUUUACAUAAUCAAACAAGUGGAGAUUGGUCUGUGGCGUCACCGAAACCCCCGAUGAGUCAUCCUCACACAUGGCCCAUCCUCUCAACUGUGUGCACUAUGGAGCCGAUCCCUAAUGCAUGGCCGACUAGUCUAAUCCUCAAUUGACCAACCCUCUCAUUUUUUUUCUAUUCUCUCUUUUUUUUUCCAUUACCAAUAGGAGGUCACUCUGUGAUUUAUCCAUAUCAAUCAUCUCAUCAGAUGCACACGGGGGCGCCGAUCUCUCCAUACACGGCCGACGGUAUCGUAGAACGCCCUUAUAAACCCAUUGGUGACCCAGUUCAUCCCAAUUCCACGCAAACAAGGCAUAUCAUCAUCACAACACAUCUAAUCAAGUAUUGCAUUUAAAUGCAAGCACAUUAAAUAAACAAACAUUGUUAUCUAGAUGUUCAAAUAUUCACAUAUAUAAAUCAAGUACAAAAUAAUGAAUAUUUACUCUCUAAACUAAAUAAAUAAAUAAAUAAGUAAUAAAUAAAUGAGAAAGAACUUGUAACAUCGUAUAAUAAUGUAUGCAUGCACGAUGCAAAUGAUAAUAUACUAUUUAUUAUAACUCAUAACAAUAAGAAAGGGAAUACUCUAAUCGUAGUUCUGAUUUGCAAAAGUAGAAGACGAUCUUGAAUAAUCCAUACAAAGUAGAAUUGAAGGGAAAGAAAAGAAUGAAUUAAAGAUAUGGCCCACAGCUCGCGUGGAACUAAAAUAACUCAAAUAGUUGGGCUUUACUUAAGAGUUUUUUAUAUUAUAUGAUAUGGGCUUAGCCUUAGGUUGCAGCACCUGUAUUUUGGUGUAUUCUUCUUUCUUUCCUUGGUCUUUCGUUCUGUCAUAUUCCUAAUAAUGGGAAAGACAAGGUAAUGGUUAAGGUACUUUAGAUUAAGAUCAAAGGAAGAGGCAGAGAAGUAGGGUUUUGUUCCUUAAGGGUUUGAUGUAUAUUGAAACUGAAAAACCAAGGGGAAAGGAUGUUGAGAAUGACGCUUGUGCCUUCCUUCUCUUCGGGUUGCUAUAUCAGUCGCAAUAGUCCUUAUUAGUAAAGAAAUCAUUCUAAAUAAAUCUAACAACCUUUUUAUUAAGUAUAAUCAUUUAAGAUUCUGCCAAAAUUUCGGCAAAACCUCCCCUAAAAAUAGAACUUUCUACUUGUUUAGACAAUAUCAAAUAACACUAAAUACUUUUCAAUCAAUACACAUGCAGCCCAUCUGUCAGGCAAUCAGACAAAUUUAUUUCCCUUUCUCCAUCCAAAGCAAUCACAUUAAUAUUUAAUCGUCAAUGCCAAACUUUAACUUACCAUAUAAUGUUAAGCAAAUAAAUAAAUAAGCAAAUAAGUGAAAAUAACUAUUUGCUUAACCUCAAUUCUACUAGUUAAAACUAUCCAACUGUACACUCUUAACAAUCAUAUACAUCUAUAACUUAUAUAUUCUUUGUCAUAAUUAACUGAGGUCUCAUGAUUCAGCUUAUUGACCUGUAAAUCAUUAUCCUCAUCAAGCAAAAUUGUAUGUACUAACUCAUUUUAACUGCGUAUCAAUUAUAAUUGAACAUUUUCACACAUCAAAACAAUACGAAAAUCUUAAAAGUACACUUGUUAUAUGUAUCUGCCCUUCUAAAACAACAAAAGAUCUCAAGGUAGUUGCUGCCAAUAUACAAAAAUUCAGAGUUCUCUUAUACUGAAAUCAUAGAUUACCCACCAACUAACCAAUCCCUUAUAAAAAUUAAACUUACAGCACCAUAUGUACUAUAUCCAGCAAUACUUUAUAGGAAUAAUUAAAAAUAGUUGCUGCAUUUUGUUACCAAACCGCUGCAAGUCUACACCCGUUAUUCUCAUGGGUCCAGGUCCAAACAACCACAAAUUGUGUUUUUGAAUUAGUCAAUUAUUUCAGUUAUUUAUACUUAGUUGUUGGUGUGAAUAUUUCCUGUUUUGUAGGAGGGUGUUCCUCUACUUUCCGUUUCAUGUUGUUUGUUGAGGAGGGUGUUCCUCCAUGUUGAAGUAGUGCUUCUUUGAUGUAGGAUGCUGUUAUACUUCCUUUCUGUAUUUAAACAAUAAAAACAUCAAUGAAGGGUAUGCUUCCAAAAAGCAAUUCAAGUUUUGAGCUCUUCAAGUCUCAAGAGGCUUACAGGUUCCCUCCUUAGAGCCUGACUUCCCUAACACCAUAGGUCGCCACAAGAAAAACCCUAACCCAAACACAUAAACACCUACCACACCUCUAACCCAUCGCCCCAUAACCAGAUCCAUAGCCCGGGACUCUAACACAUUUCAAGAGAAUUCUCAUUUUUAUUCUUUCUCGAUCAAUAAACCUUUACAUUAACAACAAAUUAUGAAAGACAUAGUUCUACCACCAAAUAUGGACUUAACUCAACAAAAACUAUAAUCUUCUUUAGCUACAGGCUGCCACUUUAAAUUCACUACUCAAUUCUAAUCUAAAGCUAAUUAAUCACUUCAAAACACUCACUAGAAUGUGUUUUAACUAUAGUUAGUAAAGAAAAUCAAACCUUUUCCUAAAAUUUGCAUAUAUAGAAUAUCUGGGAAUUUAAUCCUUACUCUAGCUUGACUAAUACAUGAAAUUCCAUAUCCUAGCAUGAAGAAUUCACAAAAUAUGCAAAAAGGAAGCUAGAGAUCAGCUUACCUAGCUGUAAAACGAGCUGGAAAUUGGAAUUUUUCGGUUAAAAUGACCGAAAUUUGCUCUACUNNNNNNNNNNNNNNNNNNNNNNNNNNNGUGGGCCAGCCACGGGAGGUCGCUAGAGGGGAUGGAAGAGCUCAACCGGCCGAUCCUUGGCUGGUUUCGCCGGAGAAGCAGAGAAACGAUGAGUCGACUGUCCCAAACUUUUUCAUUUUCAUGUAGACAAAAAUAAAUUAAAAAUUUAUAUUCCUUUGGCAAUUAUCUAAUUGCUAAAUUACUUUCUGCCCUAUAUAGAUUGCCUUUAAUAAGCCUUAGUGUAUUAAUAUAUUGACUAAUAAGAUUGAGUUAAAAAAAGUUGCGAAUUCAAAAAUAGGAAAAUAUCAAAAGAAU
This 3397-nucleotide long non-coding RNA is filed under the name Jatropha curcas. Its description in RNAcentral is "long non-coding RNA (JCUR_LNC001820)". Lineage: Eukaryota; Viridiplantae; Streptophyta; Magnoliopsida; Malpighiales; Euphorbiaceae. The record is from RNAcentral.